UUAAGCGACUAAGCGUACACGGUGGAUGCCCUGGCAGUCAGAGGCGAUGAAGGACGUGCUAAUCUGCGAAAAGCGUCGGUAAGGUGAUAUGAACCGUUAUAGCCGGCGAUGUCCGAAUGGGGAAACCCAGUGCAAUUCGUUGCACUAUCGUUAACUGAAUACAUAGGUUAACGAGGCGAACCGGGGGAACUGAAACAUCUAAGUACCCCGAGGAAAAGAAAUCAACCGAGAUUCCCCCAGUAGCGGCGAGCGAACGGGGAGCAGCCCAGAGUCUGAAUCAGCUUGUGUGUUAGUGGAACGGUCUGGAAAGUCCGACGGUACAGGGUGAUAGUCCCGUACACCAAAAUGCACAGGUUGUGAACUCGAAGAGUAGGGCGGGACACGUGGUAUCCUGUCUGAAUAUGGGGGGACCAUCCUCCAAGGCUAAAUACUCCUGACUGACCGAUAGUGAACCAGUACCGUGAGGGAAAGGCGAAAAGAACCCCGGCGAGGGGAGUGAAAAAGAACCUGAAACCGUGUACGUACAAGCAGUGGGAGCACCUUCGGGUGUGACUGCGUACCUUUUGUAUAAUGGGUCAGCGACUUAUAUUCUGUAGCAAGGUUAACCGUAUAGGGGAGCCGCAGGGAAACCGAGUCUUAACUGGGCGUUAAGUUGCAGGGUAUAGACCCGAAACCCGGUGAUCUAGCCAUGGGCAGGUUGAAGGUUGGGUAACACUACUGGAGGACCGAACCGACUAAUGUUGAAAAAUUAGCGGAUGACUUGUGGCUGGGGGUGAAAGGCCAAUCAAACCGGGAGAUAGCUGGUUCUCCCCGAAAGCUAUUUAGGUAGCGCCUCGUGAACUCAUCUUCGGGGGUAGAGCACUGUUUCGGCUAGGGGUCAUCCCGACUUACCAACCCGAUGCAAACUACGAAUACCGAAGAAUGUUAUCACGGGAGACACACGGCGGGUGCUAACGUCCGUCGUGAAGAGGGAAACAACCCAGACCGCCAGCUAAGGUCCCAAAGUCAUGGUUAAGUGGGAAACCGAUGUGGGAAGGCACAGACAGCCAGGAUGUUGGCUUAGAAGCAGCCAUCAUUUAAAGAAAGCGUAAUAGCUCACUGGUCGAGUCGGCCUGCGCGGAAGAUGUAACGGGGCUAAACCAUGCACCGAAGCUGCGGCAGCGACACUAUGUGUUGUUGGGUAGGGGAGCGUUCUGUAAGCCUGCGAAGGUGACCUGUGAGGGUUGCUGGAGGUAUCAGAAGUGCGAAUGCUGACAUAAGUAACGAUAAAGCGGGUGAAAAGCCCGCUCGCCGGAAGACCAAGGGUUCCUGUCCAACGUUAAUCGGGGCAGGGUGAGUCGACCCCUAAGGCGAGGCCGAAAGGCGUAGUCGAUGGGAAACAGGUUAAUAUUCCUGUACUUGGUGUUACUGCGAAGGGGGGACGGAGAAGGCUAUGUUAGCCGGGCGACGGUUGUCCCGGUUUAAGCAUGUAGGCUGGUUGUCCAGGCAAAUCCGGAUAAUCAAGGCUGAGGUGUGAUGACGAGGCACUACGGUGCUGAAGUAACAAAUGCCCUGCUUCCAGGAAAAGCCUCUAAGCAUCAGGUAACAUCAAAUCGUACCCCAAACCGACACAGGUGGUCAGGUAGAGAAUACCAAGGCGCUUGAGAGAACUCGGGUGAAGGAACUAGGCAAAAUGGUGCCGUAACUUCGGGAGAAGGCACGCUGGUGUGUAGGUGAAGUCCCUGCGGAUGGAGCUGAGACCAGUCGAAGAUACCAGCUGGCUGCAACUGUUUAUUAAAAACACAGCACUGUGCAACACGAAAGUGGACGUAUACGGUGUGACGCCUGCCCGGUGCCGGAAGGUUAAUUGAUGGGGUUAUCCGUAAGGAGAAGCUCUUGAUCGAAGCCCCGGUAAACGGCGGCCGUAACUAUAACGGUCCUAAGGUAGCGAAAUUCCUUGUCGGGUAAGUUCCGACCUGCACGAAUGGCGUAAUGAUGGCCAGGCUGUCUCCACCCGAGACUCAGUGAAAUUGAACUCGCUGUGAAGAUGCAGUGUACCCGCGGCAAGACGGAAAGACCCCGUGAACCUUUACUAUAGCUUGACACUGAACAUUGAGCCUUGAUGUGUAGGAUAGGUGGGAGGCUUUGAAGCGUGGACGCCAGUCUGCGUGGAGCCAACCUUGAAAUACCACCCUUUAAUGUUUGAUGUUCUAACGUUGGCCCCUUACCGGGGUUGCGGACAGUGUCUGGUGGGUAGUUUGACUGGGGCGGUCUCCUCCCAAAGCGUAACGGAGGAGCACGAAGGUUAGCUAAUCCUGGUCGGACAUCAGGAGGUUAGUGCAAUGGCAUAAGCUAGCUUGACUGCGAGCGUGACGGCGCGAGCAGGUGCGAAAGCAGGUCAUAGUGAUCCGGUGGUUCUGAAUGGAAGGGCCAUCGCUCAACGGAUAAAAGGUACUCCGGGGAUAACAGGCUGAUACCGCCCAAGAGUUCAUAUCGACGGCGGUGUUUGGCACCUCGAUGUCGGCUCAUCACAUCCUGGGGCUGAAGUAGGUCCCAAGGGUAUGGCUGUUCGCCAUUUAAAGUGGUACGCGAGCUGGGUUUAGAACGUCGUGAGACAGUUCGGUCCCUAUCUGCCGUGGGCGCUGGAGAAUUGAGGGGGGCUGCUCCUAGUACGAGAGGACCGGAGUGGACGCAUCACUGGUGUUCGGGUUGUCAUGCCAAUGGCACUGCCCGGUAGCUAAAUGCGGAAGAGAUAAGUGCUGAAAGCAUCUAAGCACGAAACUUGCCCCGAGAUGAGUUCUCCCUGAGACUUUAAGUCUCCUGAAGGAACGUUAAAGACGAUGACGUUGAUAGGCCGGGUGUGUAAGCGCAGCGAUGCGUUGAGCUAACCGGUACUAAUGAACCGUGAGGCUUAACCUU
RNAcentral lists this ribosomal RNA (2898 nucleotides) under Klebsiella pneumoniae. RNAcentral's name for it is "23S ribosomal RNA". It matches the Rfam family "Bacterial large subunit ribosomal RNA". Lineage: Bacteria; Pseudomonadati; Pseudomonadota; Gammaproteobacteria; Enterobacterales; Enterobacteriaceae. The record is from RNAcentral.